AUGAACGCUGGCGGCGUGCCUCAUACAUGCAAGUCGCACGCGCCGAGAAGGGAACUUGUUCCUUUCAACGCGAGUGGCGAACGGGUGAGUAACACGUGGGAAACCUACCCUUCAGCGGGGAUAACCCACGGAAAACGAUGCUAAUACCGCAUAAGUUGUCCAAUCCCAUGGCUGGAAAGGGGAAAGCGGCUUUGGGUGUUACUGGAGGGUUGUUCCGCGGUGCAUUAGCUAGACGGUGGGGUAACGGCCUACCCUGGCCUUGAUGCAUAGCCGACCUGAGAGGGUGAUCGGCCACAAUGGGACUGAGACGCGGCCCAAACUCCUACGGGAGGCAGCAGUAGGGAAUCUUCCGCAAUGGACGCAAGUCUGACGGAGCAACGCCGCGUGUGUGAAGAAGGUCUUCGGAUCGUAAAGCACUGUUAUCAGAGAAGAAUAGCCUAUAGAGUAACUGUUAUAGGUUUGACGGUAACUGAUCAGAAAGCCACGGCUAACUACGUG
RNAcentral lists this ribosomal RNA (498 nucleotides) under uncultured bacterium. Its description in RNAcentral is "partial 16S ribosomal RNA". It matches the Rfam family "Bacterial small subunit ribosomal RNA", at positions 29 to 507 of the family's 1533-position model. The record is from RNAcentral.